RNAcentral lists this transfer RNA (77 nucleotides) under Halanaerobaculum tunisiense. Its description in RNAcentral is "tRNA-Arg". It matches the Rfam family "tRNA". Rfam says of the family: Transfer RNA (tRNA) molecules are approximately 80 nucleotides in length. RNAcentral also lists the same sequence under 2 other names. Lineage: Bacteria; Bacillati; Bacillota; Clostridia; Halanaerobiales; Halobacteroidaceae. The record is from RNAcentral.
GCGCCCGUAGCUCAACUGGAUAGAGUUACAGACUUCGAAUCUGGAGGUUGGAGGUUCGACUCCUCCCGGGCGCGCCA